AACUAAAGCUUUGUAGAAGCGCCGGCGUUUUAAUCCGAGAGAAGGUAGAGUUACCUAGUUUAUUG
This 65-nucleotide transfer RNA is filed under the name Mytilisepta virgata. RNAcentral describes it as "tRNA-Lys". Lineage: Eukaryota; Metazoa; Mollusca; Bivalvia; Mytilida; Mytilidae. The record is from RNAcentral.